GUUGUAUGGUUAAGUGACUAAGCGUACACGGUGGAUGCCUUGGCAGUCAGAGGCGAUGAAGGACGUACUAACUUGCGAUAAGCGAUGAUGAGGCAGUAAGAGCCAUUUGAGUCAUCGAUUUCCGAAUGGGGAAACCCAGCAGCAUAAGCUGUUAUCUUGCACUGAAUACAUAGGUGUAAGAGGCGAACCAGGGGAACUGAAACAUCUAAGUACCCUGAGGAAAAGAAAUCAAUUGAGAUUCCCUAAGUAGCGGCGAGCGAACGGGGAUUAGCCCUUAAGCUUCGGGGGUGUUAGUGGAACGGUCUGGAAAGUCCGGCGAUACAGGGUGAUAGCCCCGUACACGAAAACUAACCUGAAGUGAAAUCGAGUAGGACGGGACACGUGAUAUCUUGUCUGAACAUGGGGGGACCAUCCUCCAAGGCUAAAUACUCCUGACUGACCGAUAGUGAACCAGUACCGUGAGGGAAAGGCGAAAAGAACCCCUGUGAGGGGAGUGAAAUAGAACCUGAAACCGUGUACGUACAAGCAGUGGGAGCCCUUCGGGGUGACUGCGUACCUUUUGUAUAAUGGGUCAGCGACUUACAUUUUGUAGCGAGGUUAACCGUAUAGGGGAGCCGUAGGGAAACCGAGUCUUAACUGGGCGAAUGAGUUGCAAGGUGUAGACCCGAAACCCGGUGAUCUACCCAUGAGCAGGUUGAAGGUUGGGUAACACCAACUGGAGGACCGAACCCACUAAUGUUGCAAAAUUAGGGGAUGACUUGUGGGUAGGGGUGAAAGGCCAAUCAAACCGGGAGAUAGCUGGUUCUCCUCGAAAGCUAUUUAGGUAGCGCCUCGUAUCUCACCAUUGGGGGUAGAGCACUGUUAAGGCUAGGGGGUCAUCCCGACUUACCAACCCUUUGCAAACUCCGAAUACCAAUGAGUGCAAUUACGGGAGACACACGGCGGGUGCUAACGUCCGUCGUGGAGAGGGAAACAACCCAGACCGCCAGCUAAGGUCCCAAAGUUCUAGUUAAGUGGGAAACGAUGUGGAAAGGCUCAGACAGCCAGGAUGUUGGCUUAGAAGCAGCCAUCAUUUAAAGAAAGCGUAAUAGCUCACUGGUCGAGUCGGUCUGCGCGGAAGAUGUAACGGGGCUAAACUAGACACCGAAGCUGCGGAUGCAUAUUUAUAUGCAUGGUAGAGGAGCGUUCUGUAAGCGGUUGAAGGUGUGUCGAGAGGCAUGCUGGACGUAUCAGAAGUGCGAAUGCUGACAUGAGUAACGUUAAAGCGGGUGAAAAACCCGCUCGCCGGAAGACCA
This 1295-nucleotide ribosomal RNA is filed under the name Ferrimonas aestuarii. RNAcentral's name for it is "Ferrimonas sp. IMCC35002 partial 23S ribosomal RNA". It matches the Rfam family "Bacterial large subunit ribosomal RNA", at positions 1 to 1347 of the family's 2925-position model. The record is from RNAcentral. Lineage: Bacteria; Pseudomonadati; Pseudomonadota; Gammaproteobacteria; Alteromonadales; Ferrimonadaceae.